RNAcentral lists this unclassified non-coding RNA (213 nucleotides) under Exserohilum sp. Wb3-ITS38. Its description in RNAcentral is "sequence contains 18S rRNA gene, ITS1 and 5.8S rRNA gene". The stretch from base 164 to 213 matches the Rfam family "5.8S ribosomal RNA", at positions 1 to 50 of the family's 154-position model. Lineage: Eukaryota; Fungi; Ascomycota; Dothideomycetes; Pleosporales; Pleosporaceae. The record is from RNAcentral.
AGGGUGUGGUUUGCUGGCACAGCGUCCGCCCCAAGUAUUUUUCACCCAUGUCUUUUGCGCACUUUUUGUUUCCUGGGCGAGUUCGCUCGCCACCAGGACCCAACCAUAAACCUUUUUUUUAUGCAGUUGCAAUCAGCGUCAGUAUAAUAAUUCAAUUUAUUAAAACUUUCAACAACGGAUCUCUUGGUUCUGGCAUCGAUGAAGAACGCAGCA